AUUUUGUAGUAGUUGCGAAUGAACACAAACAUGUUCAACCUCAAAAUUGGUGUGCUCCAUGUGUGCACUGACUUGUUUCAAAGUUCAUCACUAUCAAAGCUGCAUGCAAAUGAUUUUUGAAAGGAUACAACAUGGGAUGUGACAUUCAUGUCUGUGUGCUUGCUUUGAUUACAGUGUGUGCUCUAUGAUUCACAUUUCUUGUAACUGAAAUGCAAAUUGCAUGGUAAAGUUCAUGUGAUGUGAUAUGUGUUUGAGAUUCAUGAUGUGCAAGUACCAUGAGGGAAAUGUGAAAAGGACUUUGAAAAGAGAAUUAAACAAAGCCUGCAUUUGCUGAUUGUAAACGUAAGUGAGGAUUGUAAUAGUAAUGUCUCUGCAUCAGUUGACAUGUCUUACGUGUUGUUGUAUGCUUGGCAUUAUGUUCAGCACCACUGAGUGUGCGUACUGGCUUUGAUUGAACUGAUUUCAUGUGGAACUGUUGAAUGAAGAUGCAUGUACACUUGUGUGAAGUAAUGUACGCACCAACUGUGAUCAUGCACUGUUUGCACAUGUUUUCAUGUGCUUCCUUGCUAAUUCUUGAUGUCACUUGGCAUAUUAUAACUACCCUCACUUGACCCGUCUG
This 619-nucleotide ribosomal RNA is filed under the name Ostreopsis cf. siamensis Dn19EHU. Its description in RNAcentral is "LSU rRNA". It matches the Rfam family "Eukaryotic large subunit ribosomal RNA", at positions 73 to 655 of the family's 3401-position model. The record is from RNAcentral. Lineage: Eukaryota; Dinophyceae; Peridiniales; Ostreopsidaceae.